GACAGAGGAGCCAAGCGUUGUCCGGACUGACUGGGCGUAAAGCGCACGCAGGCGGCGCUGUGCGUGGGGUGUGAAAGCUCUUGGCUUAACUGAGAGAGGCCAUCCCCAUACGGCAGCGCUCGAGCGGUGCAGAGGUCCGCGGAAUUGCCGGUGUAGUGGUGAAAUGCGUAGAGAUCGGCAGGAACAGCCCAGGGGGAAACCAGCGGACUGGGCAUCGGCUGACGCUGCAGGUGCGACGAGCGUGGGGAGCGGAACCGG
Molecule: ribosomal RNA, 258 nt
Filed under: uncultured bacterium
Lineage: Bacteria
Description: partial 16S ribosomal RNA
Rfam family: Bacterial small subunit ribosomal RNA
Source: RNAcentral